Apodemus sylvaticus (European woodmouse) is the source of this 243-nucleotide long non-coding RNA. RefSeq lists it as uncharacterized. Lineage: Eukaryota; Metazoa; Chordata; Mammalia; Rodentia; Muridae. The record is from RefSeq and is a predicted model, not a curated record. The transcript has 2 exons.
GUCGAUGCUGGGGGAGUCACCUUUCUGGGACUUGGGGGCAGCUUUCAAGCAGUCUCUGGGAAGAUGGACAGAAGUCAGUCAGCGUCUACAUCAUGGUGGUCCUGGGUUGUGCAAGCAAGACCAACCAAACAGAGCAAACAAGGAAGCUACAAUGGCCUUUACUUCAGUUCCUGCCUUGACUUCCCUCAGUAUCUGGACCACUACCUGGAAGUGUAAGAUGAAAUAAACCCUUUCCUCCCAGUU